Molecule: ribosomal RNA, 111 nt
Filed under: Mesomycoplasma hyopneumoniae
Lineage: Bacteria; Bacillati; Mycoplasmatota; Mycoplasmoidales; Metamycoplasmataceae
Description: Mycoplasma hyopneumoniae partial 23S ribosomal RNA
Rfam family: Bacterial large subunit ribosomal RNA
Source: RNAcentral
AAGCUUCCUCAAAGAUGAGUAUUCCUUAUGAAAUUCCUUAUAGACUAUGAGGUUGAUAGGUUAGAGGUGUAAGUGUAGCAAUACAUUCAGCUGACUAAUACUAAUAAAUUC